This 230-nucleotide long non-coding RNA is filed under the name Ailuropoda melanoleuca (giant panda). RNAcentral describes it as "lncRNA (ENSAMEG00000024648.1)". Lineage: Eukaryota; Metazoa; Chordata; Mammalia; Carnivora; Ursidae. The record is from RNAcentral.
GUGCGCCCAGGCGGUAGCGCAUGCGCAGAGGGACAGCGGGAAAGGCUGCCUCUGAGGCGGAGCGCGGAGCCAGUCGCGAGCUGGCCUGACGAGGCCUGACGGGGCCUGUUCGCAGAACGAAGAGUCGGAAUCGGUGUUAACAACACGCGAUUGUGAGAGUCAGAAGAGCUCCUUGUUAUUUUUGAGGUCUACUCAGGAAGGUGAGUACCCCCUAGAAAAAGCUGGAGCUG